Molecule: ribosomal RNA, 279 nt
Filed under: uncultured bacterium
Lineage: Bacteria
Description: partial 16S ribosomal RNA
Rfam family: Bacterial small subunit ribosomal RNA
Source: RNAcentral
UGCCAGCCGCCGCGGUAAUACGAAGGGAGCUAGCGUUGUUCGGAAUUACUGGGCGUAAAGCGCGCGUAGGUGGCUUGGCAAGUCAGGGGUGAAAUCCCGGAGCUCAACUCCGGAACUGCCUUUGAAACUGCCCGGCUUGAGUCUCGGAGGGGAUGGUGGAAUUUCUAAUGUAGCGGUGAAAUGCGUAGAGAUUAGAAGGAACACCGGUGGCGAAGGCGACCAUCUGGACGAGUACUGACACUGAGGCGCGAAAGCGUGGGAAGCAAACAGGAUUAGAUA